Non-coding RNA from Poecilia reticulata (guppy), 2153 nucleotides. Lineage: Eukaryota; Metazoa; Chordata; Actinopteri; Cyprinodontiformes; Poeciliidae. The record is from RefSeq and is a predicted model, not a curated record.
GCUGUCAUGAUCCAAAGAGCCAAACAUCAACUUCAUCUACUCAACUGAGAUGUACCAAUUUCCCUCUGAUAAGCUCUGAUUGAUUAUUGGCGGCUCAAACGGCAGUUUGUCGAAUGCAUGAAAACCCGCCCAGCUUUUUUGUCCUUUAACUGCAUUUAAACCAAAAGAGAGUUGAGGUUAAAUAAGAAAUCUACAGUUGAAACUUAAUGUUCGCAUAUGCUGGAUACAACAUGCAUAACACGCUCUGAUGUCACGUCAAGACAUCAGACUAAACCGUCCCAGUUUUAGGUUCUUUCUUGGCGACGCCUCCUGUUUUGUGAAGUCCACCAGUCCCUUCCGCAGCAAAACACUCACCAUGGAGCUGACACCCCACGUAUGAUGACGUUUUCAAACUUACAAGGUGCAUUCACACACUCCUAUCGUCCCGUCUCCCACUGGAGCACACCAGCUUAUGCCGAGGAGAUGGGAGAAAGGCAGAAGUGCCUCUGAAAAACUCUAAUCACAUGCUUCUGAAUGUACACUUCCUACACCGUGAGCGCAUUCGGGCGCUGAAUGAAAAGGCGGCGCGCGGCUGGAUGUCAGGCUGCUGCAGGAACCGACGCUUGUUCUGCGCGCUCCGACACCCACAGCCUGCUCAGAGCCAGUUCCUCCCAUCACGACAGGAUUCGCUUUGUGAAUGGAGAGAGUCGUGAUGAGGGCGUCAUUAACUCGGCAAACACCGGGACAAUGCUGUCGAUUAUGUGCAGCUGCGAACCCCGAUCCGGUGAAUAUGAUCUGUGGGUUGAAUGUGACACAGCCUAUGCAUUAAUGAAGACUUCCUCCAGGCGCGAUUUGUACAUUACAUUAUCUGUACGCCUGGAUUAGGAGUGGGUUGCCACAUGUUUCCAAUGUACAAAUGAUACUGAUGAAUUCAGUUUUUGUCAAAAUUGAAAUAAAUAAAAAAAAGUCCAGUUAAACCUCUAUUAGCUAUUUAGUUAGUUAAUUUAGUCACUGAAAAGAUUGUGUUGCUUCCUGAUCAGGACAUUUGAUGAUCCACAAAGAAGAGAAGGAAAAAACCACGUCUGAAAAUAUAAAUUAAAUAUGUUUCACAUAAUUGAGGUAUUUCCUGUUCACUUUACAAAACAGAUCAUCAUUUAAACUACCUGAUCGGCUUUUAUCUUAAAAUGCAGUUCACAUAAAGGAACAUAAGUCCUUAUGACAUUGUUUAUUUCUUCAUUUUUACAUUUUUUUCACAUAAACACAAAAUUUCAACCUACUUUGUUGAAGUGAUUUACCAAUAAAAGUGCAUCAUUGCGAAGUGGGGAAAAAUUUGUUUUCAAAACUUCAAAACUCCAGAUCAAAAAAAAAAAGUCCAGCAUGAAUUUGUUGUAUUCAGCACUUAUUACCCCUUUACUGACAUCAUUCACUUAACUGGAGAGUAAUGUCCAACUGAGGGUUGGACAGUGACUGUUUGUUAAUCUCAUCUGUUCUGUGAAGGCCUUCGAGGUUUGCAAGAGAACAUUAGUGAGAAAACAUCAACAUGAAGGCCAAGGAACACAGCAGAAGGUCAGCAAGAAAGCUGAGGGUUUGAAAAGAAUCCCACAGGCCUCGAACGUCUCACUGAGUUUUUACGAUCAAUCGAUCAUCUGAAAUGGAAAAGGUUGUGGAACAACUGGAACCCUGUUACAAUAUGGCCAUCCACCUAAAAUGACUGAGUGGUUCAGUCUUGCUUUCCGCUCUGCCUGUGUCCGGUCCGGCAGUGUGAAAGUCACAAUAAUUGUCUUGAGUGCCAAAGAAAUGCCCAACAGAUUUACUUUACUUUCGAUGUAAUGCUCCACUUCUUUGAAAGUAGGAUAUUAUGUAAUUUCCAAUCACAUGAUGCCAUUUUGUAGCACAAACAAGUAACUACAUCACUUUCAGUUGUUAUCAAAAUCAUGCAUAAAUAAAAACAGUUUGACUUCACCACAUCUAAUUCCUUUUUAAAUUGGCCUCUGUCGCUUUAAGAAGCUCCUACUCCUUCUGACACUUCAGCACGUCACCAUGAUGGUGCUGCUCCACGAUGUUGUUUACCAUCAGCAUCGCGGCGCGUCGGACUGAGAACUGGUUCAUACGACUGGCUCAACAGACGCGCAGUUUCACCAGGUGUUUGCGGCCGCUAGUCUGGAGGAGCUGCG